Long non-coding RNA from Hypanus sabinus (Atlantic stingray), 124 nucleotides. RefSeq lists it as uncharacterized. NCBI's taxonomy places the organism in Eukaryota, Metazoa, Chordata, Chondrichthyes, Myliobatiformes, Dasyatidae. The transcript has 3 exons. The record is from RefSeq and is a predicted model, not a curated record.
GCAGAGCCCAGCUUAGUUUACACUGGCCCACAGGACUGAGCCUUCUACAUUCCAGAGAGGGAAAAGCCCAGCCUUUCCAAUCUCUCCUUGGAACCACAGCCCUCCAUUCCAGCCCCUGUUUCAU